GACGAACGCUGGCGGCGUGCUUAACACAUGCAAGUCGAACGGAAAGGCCCUGCUUGCAGGGUACUCGAGUGGCGAACGGGUGAGUAACACGUGGGUGAUCUGCCCUGCACUUCGGGAUAAGCCUGGGAAACUGGGUCUAAUACCUGAUAGGAGCCAUUUUUAGUGUGAUGGUUGGAAAGUUUUUUCGGUGUAGGAUGAGCUCGCGGCCUAUCAGCUUGUUGGUGGGGUAAUGGCCUACCAAGGCGGCGACGGGUAGCCGGCCUGAGAGGGUGGACGGCCACAUUGGGGCUGAGGGACGGCCCAGACACCGACGGGAGGCAGCAGUGGGGAAUAUUGCACAAUGGGCGCAAGCCGGAUGCAGAGGCGCCGCGGGGGGGAUGACGGCCUUCGGGUGGUAAACUCCUUUCGCUAGGGACGAAGCUUUUUGUGACGGUACCUAGAUAAGAAGCACCGGCUAACUACGUG
RNAcentral lists this ribosomal RNA (465 nucleotides) under uncultured bacterium. RNAcentral describes it as "partial 16S ribosomal RNA". It matches the Rfam family "Bacterial small subunit ribosomal RNA", at positions 28 to 507 of the family's 1533-position model. The record is from RNAcentral.